GCAAGUCGAACGAGAAAUUCCGACUUCGGUUGGAAGAGUAAAGUGGCGCACGGGUGAGUAACGCGUGGGUAACCUGCCCUUGAAUCUAGGAUAACUUCGCGAAAGCAUUGCUAAUACUAGAUAUCGUCCAGAGAACUUUGGUUUUCUGGAUGAAAGAUGACCUCUUCAUGAAAGUUGUCGUUCAGGGAGGGGCCCGCGUACCAUUAGCUUGUUGGUGGGGUAAUGGCCUACCAAGGCUGCGAUGGUUAGCUGGUCUGAGAGGAUGAUC
Molecule: ribosomal RNA, 268 nt
Filed under: uncultured bacterium
Lineage: Bacteria
Description: partial 16S ribosomal RNA
Rfam family: Bacterial small subunit ribosomal RNA
Source: RNAcentral